UUAGCUGUCUCAUGAUCUUCA
This 21-nucleotide microRNA is filed under the name Euprymna scolopes. Its description in RNAcentral is "Esc-Mir-12510_3p (mature (guide))". Lineage: Eukaryota; Metazoa; Mollusca; Cephalopoda; Sepiida; Sepiolidae. RNAcentral also lists the same sequence under 2 other names. The record is from RNAcentral.